This 653-nucleotide ribosomal RNA is filed under the name Escherichia coli. RNAcentral describes it as "partial 23S ribosomal RNA". It matches the Rfam family "Bacterial large subunit ribosomal RNA", at positions 1101 to 1756 of the family's 2925-position model. The record is from RNAcentral. Lineage: Bacteria; Pseudomonadati; Pseudomonadota; Gammaproteobacteria; Enterobacterales; Enterobacteriaceae.
UUGGCUUAGAAGCAGCCAUCAUUUAAAGAAAGCGUAAUAGCUCACUGGUCGAGUCGGCCUGCGCGGAAGAUGUAACGGGGCUAAACCAUGCACCGAAGCUGCGGCAGCGACACUAUGUGUUGUUGGGUAGGGGAGCGUUCUGUAAGCCUGCGAAGGUGUACUGUGAGGUAUGCUGGAGGUAUCAGAAGUGCGAAUGCUGACAUAAGUAACGAUAAAGCGGGUGAAAAGCCCGCUCGCCGGAAGACCAAGGGUUCCUGUCCAACGUUAAUCGGGGCAGGGUGAGUCGACCCCUAAGGCGAGGCCGAAAGGCGUAGUCGAUGGGAAACAGGUUAAUAUUCCUGUACUUGGUGUUACUGCGAAGGGGGGACGGAGAAGGCUAUGUUGGCCGGGCGACGGUUGUCCCGGUUUAAGCGUGUAGGCUGGUUUUCCAGGCAAAUCCGGAAAAUCAAGGCUGAGGCGUGAUGACGAGGCACUACGGUGCUGAAGCAACAAAUGCCCUGCUUCCAGGAAAAGCCUCUAAGCAUCAGGUAACAUCAAAUCGUACCCCAAACCGACACAGGUGGUCAGGUAGAGAAUACCAAGGCGCUUGAGAGAACUCGGGUGAAGGAACUAGGCAAAAUGGUGCCGUAACUUCGGGAGAAGGCACGCUGAUA